This 253-nucleotide ribosomal RNA is filed under the name uncultured prokaryote. RNAcentral's name for it is "partial 16S ribosomal RNA". It matches the Rfam family "Bacterial small subunit ribosomal RNA", at positions 525 to 777 of the family's 1533-position model. The record is from RNAcentral.
ACGAAGGGGGCUAGCGUUGUUCGGAAUUACUGGGCGUAAAGGGCGCGCAGGCGGCUUUGUAAGUUAGGCGUGAAAGGCCUGGGCUUAACCCGGGAAUUGCGCUUGAGACUGCGAAGCUUGAGGGUGGGAGGGGAUGGUGGAAUUCCCAGUGUAGAGGUGAAAUUCGUAGAUAUUGGGAAGAACACCAAUGGCGAAGGCGGCCAUCUGGACCAUCACUGACGCUGAGGCGCGAAAGCGUGGGGAGCAAACAGGA